UGGGGAAUUUUGGACAAUGGGCGAAAGCCUGAUCCAGCAAUGCCGCGUGUGUGAAGAAGGCCUUCGGGUUGUAAAGCACUUUUGUCCGGAAAGAAAUCCUUGGCUCUAAUACAGUCGGGGGAUGACGGUACCGGAAGAAUAAGCACCGGCUAACUACGUGCCAGCAGCCGCGGUAAUACGUAGGGUGCAAGCGUUAAUCGGAAUUACUGGGCGUAAAGCGUGCGCAGGCGGUUUGCUAAGACCGAUGUGAAAUCCCCGGGCUCAACCUGGGAACUGCAUUGGUGACUGGCAGGCUAGAGUAUGGCAGAGGGGGGUAGAAUUCCACGUGUAGCAGUGAAAUGCGUAGAGAUGUGGAGGAAUACCGAUGGCGAAGGCAGCCCCCUGGGCCAAAUACUGACGCUCAUGCACGAAAAGCGUGGGGAGCAAAACAGGAUUAGAUACCCUGGUAGUCCACGCCCUAAAACGAUGUCAACUAGUUGUUGGGGAUUCAUUUCCUUAGUAACGUAGCUAACGCGUGAAGUUGACCGCCUGGGGGAGUACGGUCGCAAAGAUUAAAAACUUAAAGGAAUUG
Molecule: ribosomal RNA, 571 nt
Filed under: uncultured bacterium
Lineage: Bacteria
Description: partial 16S ribosomal RNA
Rfam family: Bacterial small subunit ribosomal RNA
Source: RNAcentral